RNAcentral lists this ribosomal RNA (484 nucleotides) under uncultured bacterium. RNAcentral describes it as "partial 16S ribosomal RNA". It matches the Rfam family "Bacterial small subunit ribosomal RNA", at positions 29 to 507 of the family's 1533-position model. The record is from RNAcentral.
AUUGAACGCUGGCGGCAUGCUUUACACAUGCGAGUCGAGCGGCAGCGCGGCCUUCGGGCUGGCGGCGAGCGGCGAACGGGUGAGUAAUGCAUCGGAACAUGCCCAGUCGUGGGGGAUAACACUUCGAAAGAAGUGCUAAUACCGCAUACGUCCUGAGGGGGAAAGCGGGGGAUCGCAAGACCUCGCGCGAUUGGAGUGGCCGAUGUCAGAUUAGCUAGUUGGUGGGGUAAAGGCCUACCAAGGCGACGAUCUGUAGCUGGUCUGAGAGGAUGAUCAGCCACACUGGGACUGAGACACGGCCCAGACUCCUACGGGAGGCAGCAGUGGGGAAUUUUGGACAAUGGGGGCAACCCUGAUCCAGCCAUUCCGCGUGAGUGAAGAAGGCCUUCGGGUUGUAAAGCUCUUUCGGCAGGAACGAAACGGUGGGCUCUAACAUAGUCCGCUAAUGACGGUACCUGAAGAAGAAGCACCGGCUAACUACGUG